RNAcentral lists this ribosomal RNA (253 nucleotides) under uncultured bacterium. RNAcentral's name for it is "partial 16S ribosomal RNA". It matches the Rfam family "Bacterial small subunit ribosomal RNA", at positions 524 to 776 of the family's 1533-position model. The record is from RNAcentral.
GACGAACCGUGCGAACGUUGUUCGGAAUCACUGGGCUUAAAGGGCGCGUAGGCGGGCUGUCAAGUCUGGGGUGAAAUCCUUCGGCUCAACCGGAGAAUGGCCUCAGAUACUGACGGUCUCGAGGGGGAUAGGGGCAUGCGGAACUAGGGGUGGAGCGGUGAAAUGCGUUGAUAUCCUUAGGAACUCCGGUGGCGAAGGCGGCAUGCUGGAUCCCUUCUGACGCUGAGGCGCGAAAGCCAGGGGAGCAAACGGG